AUGGGUUUCUCUUCUUCCUCUCGGCGCUCACGCGUAGCUUCGGUGCUACAACUUUGCCUUUGCAUGCUGUUAUGUAGAGUACAGGGAGGAUCAUCUCACGGGCAACCCCUUGAAGAAGGGAUAAACACCCUCGUGCCAGCGCCAUCAUGUUCGGCCCGAGAUAGCCUAGACAAGGAUUUUCAUCCAGAUUGCUGGGACCAACCAACGAAGACCAUCACGGCAAAGAGAGAUCCAUCUUCAUAUGAGCUCUACAUAGUUUACCUGGGCGAAGUAAAGCAUGGACACCCCAACCACGUCGUGGCUUCGCACCAUGACAUGCUCACCACCCUUCUCGGAAGCAAGGAAGAAUCUAUGGCCUCUGUGGCGUACAACUACAAGCACGGCUUCUCAGGCUUCGCGGCCAUGCUCACACCAGAGCAAGCAAAACAACUUGCAGAGGUUCCGGAGGUCAUCAGCGUUGAAAAGAACAAAAUUCACACGACGGCCACCACGCGAAGUUGGGACUUUCUUGGCCUCAACUACCAGAUGACUAGUACUAGCAAUGGGCUACUCAAGGGAAGCAAAUAUGGAGAGGAUGUGAUCAUCGGGGUGGUUGACACCGGGAUAUGGCCGGAGUCGAGGAGCUUCAGCGACGAAGGGUACGGGCCGAUACCGUCAAGGUGGAAAGGAAAGUGCCAACUCGGGCCAGACUGGGGCAGCAACAAUUGCAGUCGGAAGAUCAUCGGCGCCCGCUUCUACACCGCCGGUGUGUCCGACGUGUUGCUCAAGAUGGACACACUCUCGCCUCGUGACAACAACGGACAUGGCACACACUGUGCGUCCACCUCUGCGGGCUCGAUUGUGGAGGCGGCUAGCUUCAAUGGCCUUGCCGAGGGGGUUGCAAGAGGAGGCGCGCCGCGUGCUCGCAUUGCUGUGUACAAGUCUGGGUGGGGUUCUGGCUCUUUUAGUAUCGCGAGUGUGCUAGCCGCUAUUGAUGAUGCGAUCCACGAUGGAGUGGACGUGUUGUCGCUCUCCAUCACUGGCGAGGAGCAGCUCGCCUUCGGUGCUCUACACGCGGUUCAAAAGGGGAUCACCGUGGUGUACAUAGCCGGCAACGAUGGACCUAGGCCACAAACAGUUGUGAAUAUUUCGCCGUGGGUCAUCACCGUGGCGGCGAGCAAGGUUGAUCGGUCAUUUCCGACCGUGAUCACGCUGGGAAACAAGCAACAAAUAGUGGGACAAUCUCUAUAUUACCAAGCGAAAAACUCAUCCGGGAGCAGUUUUGCAGGUCUUUUAGUUGGUGCAGGGUGUACCGCGGAUAGACUGAAUGGCACAGACGUGAGAGGGAUAAUCCUUUUCUGCUUACCAUUGAAAGACGAUGCAGGCACACCAGUGAGUACUUUUGAUUAUGCGUCACAAUACGUCCGAAGUGGCGGGGGAUGUGGUCUCAUUUUCGCCCAAUAUACGACGGACCUUUUAACCAUGACAGCAUCAGUUGCUUGCCAAGGCAUUGCCUGCGUUCUUGUGGACCUUGACACCGGGGAGAAGAUAAGAAAAUACGGGGGCGUCGCCGGGAGCUCUGCAGUGGCAAAGAUCGAACCAGCACACAUCGUUGCCGGGAAAGAGAUACCAGGACCAAAAGUGGCAGCGUUCUCCUCAAGAGGGCCAUCACGCCAUUACCCCGACAUUAUCAAGCCUGACAUAGCUGCGCCUGGAGCCAACAUCUUGGCAGCAGUGGGAAAUUCCUACGAAUUUAAGGAUGGGACAUCAAUGGCAGCUCCGCAUGUAUCCGGCAUCGUUGCGCUACUGAAAGCUGAGCAUCCACACUGGUCUCCUGCCGCGAUAAAAUCAGCCAUCAUGACCACAGCCCGUGUAACCGACAAUCGUGGCAUGCCGAUACUGGCGGAAGGGUUGCCCCGGAAGAUCGCUGACCCGUUUGACUAUGGAGGUGGCAACAUCAACCCCACUGGUGCAGCCGAUCCCGGCUUGGUCUACGACAUCGAUCCCCGUGACUACAACAAAUUCUUCAGGUGCACCAUUGUCAGGAGGACGAAUGCGAGUUGUGACGCGACGAUGCUACCGGCGUACCACCUGAACCUACCCUCCAUCGCGGUGUCUGAGUUGAGGCGCCCGAUCACUGUGUGGAGGACGGUGACGAAUGUCGGCGAGGCCGACUCUGUGUACCACGCAGAAGUCCAAUGCCCAGCUGGAGUCAUGAUGGAGGUCGAGCCGACGGUGCUCGUGUUCAACGCCACGGACAGAGUCCAUUCAUUUAAGGUGAAGUUGGCACCUAUGUGGAGGCUGCAAGGGGACUACACCUUUGGCAGCAUUACUUGGCGGAAGGACCAAAAAACCGUGAGGAUUCCUGUUGCGGCCCGCAUGACGAUUCAAGAUUUCUAUGCAGAUGUUGCAUAA
This 2394-nucleotide ribosomal RNA is filed under the name Triticum aestivum (bread wheat). RNAcentral's name for it is "partial small subunit ribosomal RNA". The record is from RNAcentral. Lineage: Eukaryota; Viridiplantae; Streptophyta; Magnoliopsida; Poales; Poaceae.